GUGAUCAUCAAUAUAGAUGGGCUUAUCGAUAUCGCCAUGCCGAAUUGGCCCCGAAUCAAUCUCAUAGGAUGAAAGCAACUUCUUAUGGUCCUCAAAAUCAGGACUGAUCAAAUUGAUAGAUAAGUUUCUCAUCAACAGCAGAACAGUUUCAACAUCUAUUGGGUCCAUCCUCUUCAACUUUUGCAGAUGACCAGAAGCAUUUGGGUCAAAGACACUGCCAAUGAAUCUGU
This 230-nucleotide unclassified non-coding RNA is filed under the name Hevea brasiliensis (rubber tree). The record is from RNAcentral. Lineage: Eukaryota; Viridiplantae; Streptophyta; Magnoliopsida; Malpighiales; Euphorbiaceae.